This 1750-nucleotide long non-coding RNA is filed under the name Gallus gallus (chicken). Its description in RNAcentral is "long non-coding RNA NONGGAT005650". The record is from RNAcentral. Lineage: Eukaryota; Metazoa; Chordata; Aves; Galliformes; Phasianidae.
ACCUGGAAGGGCAGAUCCAUGGCACUGUUUCCAAUCUGAUUCACAUUUGGCAGCGACCCACCAUAGUACUGGCCACGACUCUGUCCCAGCUGCAAAUAUUGGGUUUUCUGCAACUGUAACUAAAAGAAAACAAAGAGGAAAGUGUAAGGGUCACACAGUUGUUUUUCAGCUUUUAAUUAACUCUUCCCCAUAUCACUGAUCACUGAGAAUGGAUACCACCUGCAACAGUAUGGAUUUAACUCAUGAGGAUACCACUCCUCGGCCACACAGAACCUCUGUGACAGCACACAGGGAUUGCUGUGGAAUCAACAAUCACAUUCCAUUUCCAACAAAGAGCAGCCCCAUGGAAGCACACGGUCCUUCUGUCACCUGCUGCACUGCUAAAGCAGGAGUAAAGAACCCGUAUCAGUCCAGCCAUGCCUCUAUCAUCAAACCCAACCAGCUGGGCACACGCACAGCCGAUGUGUGAGGAAGUCAGAUCAGUGUAUGGAGUGUAUGGUUUAACCAAACACACUUGGUAGCAAUCUAGGUAGCAGAGAUGCUUGCUUCCCACCAUCAGCAAAGGAAACAGCACUACAGCUUCACCAUAUUGCCUCUGAGGUGGAGCAGAGAUGUUUCCAGCAAGGUGAGGCAGAGCCAUGCUGCUCAUGCUGGCAGUGAGGCCGAAGCAGAGCCCUGUGCUAAGCAGUAGUGGUGGCAGUGGGGCUGAGCAGUGCUGAUGGUACCACUCAGAGAGGAGCAACGGGAAUGCUGUGCUGAUGGCGUGCUGGCACUUCUGGGUCCAAGCAGGAACACCUGAAUCAGACAGCUCAGAGAUCCCAUCCACAAAGCACCACCUGGACCCCCCCACCUUGCACUUCCAUCCCCUGACACAACAUUACAACACAGGCACACGAGAGCAGAGGAGCACUGCACUGUGUUCCAGCCCCCGGCGCAGAGCUGUGAAGGCACAGCGUUGGAACGAGCUGUGCUUUUUGCCUGCUCCGUACAUAUGUUUUUGUUGCUACAAAAAGGCUUGCUUGGGAUUGGUGCCAAACGUGAAGUAAGUGCUUCAGCAGGUGCUGGUCUCUCCUAAGGAACCUCCUAUAAGGCAUGCUGGGCUGGGGAGUUGCUUCAUGUCCUCAGUACGUACCCAGCACAACGUAACGGGGAGGUCACCACCAUUUGUCUUCCUACUGCACUUAAACAUAGAAAUGAGGAAGCACAGGAGAUCAAGAAUUACAGCAGACCUCAAAACCGACCUGGUUAUGCAGCUUUGGUGUGCCAUUCAUCUCACCAGCACUCCCUUCAAUAAACACUUUUGGAGCUCUGUGCCAAAACUAAAAGCAAUUGCUUUACUGCUAUCCGGUAUUACUGCAGGCUCUGUGUUUGCUCCUCUCCUCGGCCUGCUGCCUCUUCAGUGCUCACCACCUGUAUUCAUUCCCUGAGCCACAAGAACUCAGCGAGCCUACACUGCAGCAUUCCCAUCCCUGUGCUCUGUGCCCAAGGUAAGAGCUGCAGACAGCAGAACAGACCAGAACAGACCAGCUCUGGCCUGAGGCAGCUGGGGGGCAAAGGAAAAAGCUGUUCUUUGUCACAGCACUUCAUUUCUGCUCAGCACGGCUGCUCCAAAGGAACGCUCCCCAUAACACAGACCCUGACCAGAGCUCUCAUUUCCCUCCACCACCAUUUCUCUUCCUCUCUUCCUCUACUUCAAAAGUUUUUAAGCCAGAAACCAAUUUGAAGUUAUUUUGUCAUUAAACCAUUUCCG